UGGGGAAUAUUGGACAAUGGGCGCAAGCCUGAUCCAGCCAUACCGCGUGGGUGAAGAAGGCCUUCGGGUUGUAAAGCCCUUUUGUUGGGAAAGAAAAGCAAUCGAUUAAUACCCGGUUGUUCUGACGGUACCCAAAGAAUAAGCACCGGCUAGCUUCGUGCCAGCAGCCGCGGUAAUACGAAGGGUGCAAGCGUUACUCGGAAUUACUGGGCGUAAAGCGUGCGUAGGUGGUUGUUUAAGUCUGUUGUGAAAGCCCUGGGCUCAACCUUGGAAUUGCAGUGGAUACUGGGCAACUAGAGUGUGGUAGAGGGUAGUGGAAUUCCCGGUGUAGCAGUGAAAUGCGUAGAGAUCGGGAGGAACAUCCAUGGCGAAGGCAGCUACCUGGACCAACACUGACACUGAGGCACGAAAGCGUGGGGAGCAAACAGG
This 429-nucleotide ribosomal RNA is filed under the name bacterium. Its description in RNAcentral is "partial 16S ribosomal RNA". It matches the Rfam family "Bacterial small subunit ribosomal RNA", at positions 355 to 776 of the family's 1533-position model. The record is from RNAcentral.